GUGUGGGUGCGGAGGUGUCGGUUCAGAGAACUCUUUUGUGAUAAUAUCUGAGGGCAUGAUGGGCAUCGAAAUGGCAUCUCGCCUGUGUGGGUGCGGAGGUGUUGAUUCAGAGUACUCUUUCGUGAGAAGCUUUGAGGGCAUGAAGGGCAC
Dermacentor silvarum is the source of this 150-nucleotide long non-coding RNA. RefSeq lists it as uncharacterized. Lineage: Eukaryota; Metazoa; Arthropoda; Arachnida; Ixodida; Ixodidae. The record is from RefSeq and is a predicted model, not a curated record. The transcript is spliced from 3 exons.